GAUGAACGCUGGCGGCGUGCCUAAUACAUGCAAGUCGAGCGAACGGACGAGAAGCUUGCUUCUCUGAUGUUAGCGGCGGACGGGUGAGUAACACGUGGAUAACCUACCUAUAAGACUGGGAUAACUUCGGGAAACCGUAGCUAAUACCGGAUAAUAUUUUGAACCGCAUGGUUCAAAAGUGAAAGACGGUCUUGCUGUCACUUAUAGAUGGAUCCGCGCUGCAUUAGCUAGUUGGUAAGGUAACGGCUUACCAAGGCAACGAUGCAUAGCCGACCUGAGAGGGUGAUCGGCCACACUGGAACUGAGACACGGUCCAGACUCCUACGGGAGGCAGCAGUAGGGAAUCUUCCGCAAUGGGCGAAAGCCUGACGGAGCAACGCCGCGUGAGUGAUGAAGGUCUUCGGAUCGUAAAACUCUGUGAUUAGGGAAGAACAUAUGUGUAAGUAACUGUGCACAUCUUGACGGUACCUAAUCAGAAAGCCACGGCUAACUACGCG
This 497-nucleotide ribosomal RNA is filed under the name uncultured bacterium. Its description in RNAcentral is "partial 16S ribosomal RNA". It matches the Rfam family "Bacterial small subunit ribosomal RNA", at positions 28 to 507 of the family's 1533-position model. The record is from RNAcentral.